CGUCAGCGGCAGACGGGUGAGUAACGCGUGGGAACGUACCUUUUGGUUCGGAACAACACAGGGAAACUUGUGCUAAUACCGAAUAAGCCCUUACGGGGAAAGAUUUAUCGCCGAAAGAUCGGCCCGCGUCUGAUUAGCUAGUUGGUGAGGUAACGGCUCACCAAGGCGACGAUCAGUAGCUGGUCUGAGAGGAUGAUCAGCCACAUUGGGACUGAGACACGGCCCAAACUCCUACGGGAGGCAGCAGUGGGGAAUAUUGGACAAUGGGCGCAAGCCUGAUCCAGCCAUGCCGCGUGAGUGAUGAAGGCCCUAGGGUUGUAAAGCUCUUUUGUGCGGGAAGAUAAUGACGGUACCGCAAGAAUAAGCCCCGGCUAACUUCGUGCCAGCAGCCGCGGUAAUACGAAGGGGGCUAGCGUUGCUCGGAAUCACUGGGCGUAAAGGGUGCGUAGGCGGGUCUUUAAGUCAGGGGUGAAAUCCUGGAGCUCAACUCCAGAACUGCCUUUGAUACUGAAGAUCUUUAGUUCGGGAGAGGUGAGUGGAACUGCGAGUGUAGAGGUGAAAUUCGUAGAUAUUCGCAAGAACACCAGUGGCGAAGGCGGCUCACUGGCCCGAUACUGACGCUGAGGCACGAAAGCGUGGGGAGCAAACAGGAUUAGAUACCCCGGUAGUCCACGCCGUAAACGAUGAAUGCCAGCCGUUAGUGGGUUUACUCACUAGUGGCGCAGCUAACGCUUUAAGCAUUCCGCCUGGGGAGUACGGUCGCAAGAUUAAAACUCAAAGGAAUUGACGGGGGCCCGCACAAGCGGUGGAGCAUGUGGUUUAAUUCGACACACGCGCAGAACCUUACCAGCCCUUGGCAUCCCGGUCGCGGACUCCAGAGAUGGAGUUCUUCAGUUCGGCUGGACCGGAGACAGGUGCUGCAUGGCUGUCGUCAGCUCGUGUCGUGAGAUGUUGGGUUAAGUCCCGCAACGAGCGCAACCCCCGUCCUUAGUUGCUACCAUUUAGUUGAGCACUCUAAGGAGACUGCCGGUGAUAAGCCGCGAGGAAGGUGGGGAUGACGUCAAGUCCUCAUGGCCCUUACGGGCUGGGCUACACACGUGCUACAAUGGCGGUGUCAAUGGGAUGCUAAGGGGCGACCCUUCGCAAAUCUCAAAAAGCCGUCUCAGUUCGGAUUGGGCUCUGCAACUCGAGCCCAUGAAGUUGGAAUCGCUAGUAAUCGUGGAUCAGCACGCCACGGUGAAUACGUUCCCGGGCCUUGUACACACCGCCCGUCACACCAUGGGAGUUGGUUUUACCUGAAGACGGUGCGCUAACCCGCAAGGGAGGCAGCCGGCCACGGUAGGGUCAGCGACUGGGGUGAAGUCGUAACAAGGUA
Molecule: ribosomal RNA, 1375 nt
Filed under: metagenome
Description: bacterial SSU rRNA
Rfam family: Bacterial small subunit ribosomal RNA
Source: RNAcentral